RNAcentral lists this ribosomal RNA (510 nucleotides) under Kodamaea ohmeri. Its description in RNAcentral is "partial large subunit ribosomal RNA". It matches the Rfam family "Eukaryotic large subunit ribosomal RNA", at positions 68 to 664 of the family's 3401-position model. The record is from RNAcentral. Lineage: Eukaryota; Fungi; Ascomycota; Pichiomycetes; Serinales; Debaryomycetaceae.
ACGGGGUAUUGCCUCAGUAACGGCGAGUGAAGCGGCAAAAGCUCAAAUUUGAAAUCCCCCCGGGGAGUUGUAAUUUGAAGAUUGCGUCUUGGAGGCGACCGUGUCUAUGUUCCUUGGAACAGGACGUCACAGAGGGUGAGAAUCCCGUGCGGCACGGCCCCCGGCUCCUUAUAAGGCGCUCUCGACGAGUCGAGUUGUUUGGGAAUGCAGCUCAAAGUGGGUGGUAAAUUCCAUCUAAAGCUAAAUACAGGCGAGAGACCGAUAGCGAACAAGUACAGUGAUGGAAAGAUGAAAAGCACUUUGAAAAGAGAGUGAAACAGCACGUGAAAUUGUUGAAAGGGAAGGGCAUGCCGUCAGAUUGUCAGUGUGGGUAAGAAGCGGGGUACAAAGACUGUGGAACGUGGCCCUCGGGUGUUAUAGCCGCAGUUCAUGCCCCGUCUCUUUCCGAGGCCUGCUUUGAGGACACCGACGUAAUGACGGUACGCCGCCCGUCUUGAAAMACGGACACAA